Molecule: ribosomal RNA, 164 nt
Filed under: uncultured bacterium
Lineage: Bacteria
Description: partial 16S rRNA
Rfam family: Bacterial small subunit ribosomal RNA
Source: RNAcentral
UAGAGAAUCUUCGGCAAUGGGCGCAAGCCUGAUGGAGCAACACCGCGUGAGUGAAGAAGGGUUUCGGCUCGUAAAGCUCUGUUGUUAAAGAAGAACACGUAUGAGAGUAACUGUUCAUACGUUGACGGUAUUUAACCAGAAAGUCACGGCUAACUACGCGCCAG